This 224-nucleotide long non-coding RNA is filed under the name Lathyrus oleraceus (garden pea). RNAcentral's name for it is "Pisum sativum (pea) long non-coding RNA (PSAT_LNC024956)". Lineage: Eukaryota; Viridiplantae; Streptophyta; Magnoliopsida; Fabales; Fabaceae. The record is from RNAcentral.
AAGAAAUAAUAGGGUCAGGAUGCAGGCGGUCAUAGGAUGCAACAUUUUGCAGAAUGAUAGGAUGAAAUUAAAAAGUGAGAUGUUGCAAUGAUUCGGUAAAAGUGAAAGAAGCUUUGAGAGAGAUAAUGAGAGAUGAGGAAAUUAAGCUGUGAGAGAGAUAUAGCGGUAUAGAGUAUUAAAAAACGGUGGUAUGGGUUUGCCAAUUGCAAAAAGAAACAUAUGUG